AGACGAACCGGACGAAUGUUAUUCGGAAUUACUGGGCUUAAAGAGUGCGUAGGCGGCUUGGCAGGUUGGGUGUGAAAUCCCUCGGCUCAACCGAGGAACUGCGCUCAAAACCGCCAGGCUUGAGGGAGGCAGGGGUGAGCGGAACUGAUGGUGGAGCGGUGAAAUGCGUUGAUAUCAUCAGGAACACCGGUGGCGAAGGCGGCUCACUGGGUCUCUUCUGACGCUGAGGCACGAAAGCUAGGGUAGCGAACGGGAUUAGAAACCCGGGUAGUCC
RNAcentral lists this ribosomal RNA (274 nucleotides) under uncultured bacterium. RNAcentral's name for it is "partial 16S ribosomal RNA". It matches the Rfam family "Bacterial small subunit ribosomal RNA", at positions 523 to 796 of the family's 1533-position model. The record is from RNAcentral.